UAAAGAUAGCUUUUCAAAACA
RNAcentral lists this non-coding RNA (21 nucleotides) under Caenorhabditis elegans. Lineage: Eukaryota; Metazoa; Nematoda; Chromadorea; Rhabditida; Rhabditidae. The record is from RNAcentral.